RNAcentral lists this ribosomal RNA (460 nucleotides) under uncultured bacterium. RNAcentral describes it as "partial 16S ribosomal RNA". It matches the Rfam family "Bacterial small subunit ribosomal RNA", at positions 338 to 795 of the family's 1533-position model. The record is from RNAcentral.
CCUACGGGGUGCAGCAGUGAGGAAUAUUGGUCAAUGGACGAGAGUCUGAACCAGCCAAGUAGCGUGAAGGAUGACUGCCCUAUGGGUUGUAAACUUCUUUUAUAAAGGAAUAAAACGAGGCACGUGUGCCUUUUUGCAUGUACUUUAUGAAUAAGGAUCGGCUAACUCCGUGCCAGCAGCCGCGGUAAUACGGAGGAUCCGAGCGUUAUCCGGAUUUAUUGGGUUUAAAGGGAGCGUAGAUGGGUUGUUAAGUCAGUUGUGAAAUUUUGCGGCUCAACCGUAAAAUUGCAAUUGAUACUGGCAGUCUUGAGUACAGUUGAGGUAGGCAGAAUUCGUGGUGUAGCGGUGAAAUGCUUAGAGAUCACGAAGAACCCCGAUUGCGAAGGCAGCUUACUAAACUGUGACUGACAUUGAUGCUCGAAAGUGUGGGUAUCAAACAGGAUUAGAUACCCCGGUAGUC